Molecule: long non-coding RNA, 885 nt
Organism: Macrobrachium nipponense
Lineage: Eukaryota; Metazoa; Arthropoda; Malacostraca; Decapoda; Palaemonidae
Exons: 3
Source: RefSeq, a predicted model, not a curated record
UGUGCGGGUCCACAAAGUUCAAGGAGUGGUUGACUCUUAAAAGAAGAAAUCCCUCCUCAUUUAGGCAAUCGUAUGCCUUCCAACAGUCGGAAAUGAUGGUAGUGCCGGGCUCUAUAUAAUCCCUUAUCACUGUUAAAAGUGUCGCUUUGUCCCUACUUUCUACAGGAAGUCAGGAACAGCAAUUGAGACAAGAACUUGGGAGAAAAUCCACAUAAAUUGAUGUCAAAGUAGAUGGUAAUUGAGAAACUGCACCAGAAGUUGAAGGUUCGCACGCCUCCAUGGCUCUCAAAAGACUGAAAAAUUAGCAAUGGAAAUUGUGUGAAAAGUGUCGAAAAGUGUUAGUUUCCCAGUAAAACUGACACCUGAUUAGGGUAUUCAAGUUACGUGAUUCUAGUUUUGUUAAAAUGCCAGUCCCAAGUAAAAUGUGGACCAUCAUCAUUGGUUAAUAACUAUGACGUUUGGGUGACGUCUUGCUACGUAGAAUAAUAAUGACAAUCUAUGUUUUUAACGCACAAACGAACAAACGAGAGCUCAGUCUGAAGAGGAAUUUGAGAGAGCUAUGAAGCCUAGGGACUUGGUUUUUUCAGAUUUUGGAUUCAAGUUCAUUAGUUAUUUAUUUCUGGGAAGGUCUACAUUUCUACAUGAAUCUGUGGUGAACUGCAAUCAAUUUGACUUGUCGCUGUUUAUCCUAAUGUCCGCGGCCAUCAACUGAGGGACGAAAGUAUGAAGUUUCAUAAAAGAUAUCUGCCUUGUUUAAGAGUAGGACAAACUCUGCCACAACGCAUUGUAACUUGGAUGGUUAUUCUCUUGGCCAAGAAUGACACUAAGACCUUUUCAGCACAAAUUCAACCAAGUUCGUAGUAAGUUUUUAAAAUAUAAGUGUAA